This 253-nucleotide ribosomal RNA is filed under the name uncultured bacterium. RNAcentral describes it as "partial 16S ribosomal RNA". It matches the Rfam family "Bacterial small subunit ribosomal RNA", at positions 524 to 776 of the family's 1533-position model. The record is from RNAcentral.
CACGUAGGGCGCAAGCGUUGUCCGGAAUUAUUGGGCGUAAAGAGCUCGUAGGCGGUCUGUUGCGUCCGCUGUGAAAACUCGGGGCUUAACCCCGAGCCUGCAGUGGAUACGGGCAGACUAGAGGUAGGUAGGGGAGAAUGGAAUUCCCGGUGUAGCGGUGAAAUGCGCAGAUAUCGGGAGGAACACCGGUGGCGAAGGCGGCAUCCUGGACCAUAACUGACGCUGAGGCGCGAAAGCUAGGGGAGCAAACGGG